UUAGACCACUGUUGAUUUGUUGAAAAAGAAGUUAUCAGAAUCCAUUUCUGAUGCAAAAGAGACUCAGAGUGGGUCCUGCAUGGCGAGCCCAGCACGAGGCUCCUCCACCAGAAAUACCUCACCAGGGAUGGUAGGGAUGAGUGGUGUGUGGUGGUGGCUGGGGAGCCACCUGGAAAGGAGAGUUUUCCCUAAAGACCCAGCUCCAGGCCAGCCCCCUGCUGGUAAUUAACCUCUGUCACCUUGCACUUCCUGAACCCAAGAAUAAAAGUACAGCAGAAACAGCAGCCAUGAAGCAGGAAAGCCUACAAAUGCCACACCUUGCCCCUGUGCAGGUGGGGCCGGACCCUGUGAGUGGACUAGGGGAUCUCCUGUUGCUGUGUGUGCUCUGCAGCCAUACUUAACCAAAUGUCGCGGUCACCCGCAGAGACGACCUGGAGGGGGAGAAAUGGAGAUGCUGCAGAGGAUAGUUUGGUAAUGAAAAGAGUAAAUAUUUUGUUUAAGUUAGAAAUCACCCAUAUUUCCUUCCCACUGUGGAUGCGCUAGGGUUCUGAGGAGGAGCCCACAGGCAUCAGUAGCAGUCCUGAGAACACCAUUGUUGGCCCCCAGGUGACUGGUGACCCUGCGCUGGAUUCAGCCCACGCCCUCUGCAUACAAGCCAGGGGAGCGCUGUCACCUUAGGAGAUCCCCUCUCAGUGGCUGAUGUCAGUGUCCCCUGCUUUUGUGUGUCCCCCCGCCCCGCCCCAGAUGUUGACCAUAAAUGAGUUGCAGGCACAAAAGAAAUGGAGGGAAGCCUUGUGGUAGGAGCAUGUCCAGGAACAGGCUGUCUGCAGAGGUAAAGGAUGGUUGAGGACAUGGUGGCUUCUCCUUACCCACCAUGCUCUCAUGGCUUGCGAGGCAGAAUUAUGGAAGCAUUACUUAAUACACGUAUUAAAAAUCAAUAUUCUAAACACAAAGGAUGAAACUAGGACUAUCUGGGGUUACAAUAAAAGCUCUUCUCAAUUAGAUCUUUUAGAGCUGGGUGUACAUUAUGCCAUAUAAAAACAAGCGAGUUCUUUAACAACAACACUCUAGUAAUGAACAUUUUAGCCUACUUUUUAUAGCGUGUACAUUAAAGUGGACUAUAGCAAACAACCACCGUGAGAGCGACUGUGACCAGCGUUCCAUUUGCACUGGAACAGGCGUCAUCCAGUGGAGUGAAGUGGUGGAUGAGUGGCAACCAGGAAGGCCCUCCACAGCAGAGAUCCAUCGAUGGAAAAUCGACCUUUGAACUGCUGUCUGACCUGGUAGCUUUUGGGAUGGUGAUGUCUGAGAACCAGGGCGCUCUCCCUAGUCUUCCUUGUGGAUUCACACAGACAGUUGCUGUCCGAGAUUAAAGGCUGCCCCCACUUUUGUCCCUUUGCACUUUGAACAGAGGUCAUGGCGACACCUGGUCUGAUGAGAAGAAAGGUCGAGACAGUGUGGAUAUACUGUACGGGGUGAGAGUUUAUUAUAUGUGUCUAUCAGCCCUCAGCGCUGUGGAUAUAUAUACUGUAGAGCUUAUGAUAUGUGUCAAUCAGUCCUCUGAAUCUUUUUACUGAAACUGGGAUAGAAAAAUAAAGAUCCAAUGGUAUUUUG
Molecule: long non-coding RNA, 1614 nt
Filed under: Mus musculus (house mouse)
Lineage: Eukaryota; Metazoa; Chordata; Mammalia; Rodentia; Muridae
Description: long non-coding RNA chr5:101822243-101823857
Source: RNAcentral